AGGACGAACGCUGGCGGCGUGCUUAACACAUGCAAGUCGAACGAGGUGCUUCGGCACUUAGUGGCGAACGGGUGAGUAACACGUGAGCAACCUGCCCUUGGCUCUGGGAUAGCCUCCGGAAACGGGGGAUUAAUACCGGACAUGACCUUCCCCGGCAUCGGGGUUGGUGGAAAGGUUUUUCGGCCAGGGAGGGGCUCGCGGCCUAUCAGCUUGUUGGGGGGGUAACGGCCCACCAAGGCGACGACGGGUAGCC
This 253-nucleotide ribosomal RNA is filed under the name uncultured bacterium. RNAcentral's name for it is "partial small subunit ribosomal RNA". It matches the Rfam family "Bacterial small subunit ribosomal RNA", at positions 26 to 288 of the family's 1533-position model. The record is from RNAcentral.